This 6260-nucleotide long non-coding RNA is filed under the name Brassica napus (rape). RNAcentral describes it as "long non-coding RNA (BNAP_LNC000689)". Lineage: Eukaryota; Viridiplantae; Streptophyta; Magnoliopsida; Brassicales; Brassicaceae. The record is from RNAcentral.
AUUUGAGUUUCAAUCUAUUGUUUAAAAUUAUCUAUGAAUUAUUGUACUGAAUCAUCAUUUUUUUAAUCUCCUUUCUUUGGUCCUUUAUAAUAAUAGUAUAUCCUUUGUAAAAGAAGUGUAAAGACAUCGACGGCAAAGAGGUAGCGUAAGCAAAGUUGGCGGAGGCAAAUAAGGAGCGUGGAAUAAAGAAAGAGUCGAGUCCACAUGGGCGGCCAUAGCGUUUGUGUCCCACCUUUGUCCCCUUGCCUCUUUCUUGCCUUUCAUGCUCCCGACAACAUCUCUCUCUCUUCCUUUAACCCUAACUUCUAUGCAUCUUCUCCCUCCUGUAUAUAUCUCUCUUUCUCUAAACCCAUCAUCAACCAAACUCACAAACAAGAACAAGAAGAACAAGGAUUCUGCUUUGGAUAUAUUACACAGAGACAUAUAGAGAGAGAGGUGUCUUGAUCUUGAAAAAAAAUGGCUUACGAGAAAGUCAAUGAGCUUAACCUUAAGGACACAGAGCUUCGUCUUGGAUUACCCGGAACGGAGCAAGAUAAGGAAGAACAAGAGGUUUCUUGCGUUAGAAGCAACAAGCGUCAACUACAGAGCGAUAACGAGGAAGAAUCUACACUUCCUACGAAGUAAGUGAAGAUUUGAGUUUCAAUCUAUUGUUUAAAAUUAUCUAUGAAUUAUUGUACUGAUGAUGAUUCUUUGCUAAUUUACAGAACUCAAAUCGUUGGUUGGCCUCCGGUGAGAUCUUACCGUAAAAACAACAACAGUGUGAGCUAUGUGAAAGUGAGUAUGGAUGGAGCUCCAUACCUUAGGAAAAUAGAUCUCAAGACAUACAAAAACUAUCCAGAGCUUCUCAAGGCAUUAGAGAACCUGUUCAAGUUCACGAUCGGUGAAUACAGCGAAAGAGAAGGAUACAAAGGAUCUGGAGUUGUACCAACGUACGAGGAUAAAGAUGGAGAUUGGAUGUUGGUUGGUGAUGUUCCAUGGGAUAUGUUCUCUUCCUCUUGUAAGAGACUCAGGAUCAUGAAAGGAUCUGAUGCUCUUGCUUUGGACUCGGCCUUAUGAUGAUGAUGAUGAUGAUGAUGAAAGCUUUUGAUGGAUGAAACCCUUUUUGAUUUGAUUCUGAUCGGAGUUUGAGUAGUUGACCACACCAAAAACAGAACAUGUCAGGGUUUUGUUCGAUGAGAUAGAUCCAUCUUCAAGGGGUUUUCUUUUUGUUUUGUUUGAUCCUUGUUUUUAGAUUUGCAGCUUGUUGUAAAGAUAGAUGAAAUUUUUGUACAAUACGGACAUAUACACAAUAUAGAUGCGUAUGUAGCAAUGUUUUGACGAAAAGAGUCUUUAAUUUCAUAGUGAUAUCUACAAUAAUUUACAAUAAAGAACCUCAUAGUAUUCUUUAGGAGAGGGCAAAAUAAGGGUUUGGAUUCGAUCAGGAAAUUUUGGAUAUUUGUAACUCCAACAAAAAAAAAUACUUACAUUUAAUUAUAGUUAAAAACUGAAAAAAUUAUAAUUACUAAAAUUUUAGAAGAUAUAUGUGUUUAUUAUAUUUAUAUGAAAGUUUGAUAUAUUUUCGCUAAAUUAUUUAUUUAUUUAUUUAUUAAAAAGUAAAAUUAAAUUACAUUUUAUUUCGUAAUGAACAUUAUUAUAAUAUGUCAAAUUUCGAAUUUUUUAAUAAAAAAUAUUUUUACAUUUAAAAAAGAUUAAUCAAGAAACAGGCCUGAUAAGAGUUUCCAAAGCCCAAUUGACUUGAGUCCAUUGAUUUUGGUUAUGUGCUAUGACGGGGCGAAUCUAGCCCAUUUAAAUUAUGGGUGCACUAUUGAUAGAAAAACAUAAAAAUACAUUAGACAAGGAUCGAACCUAAGAAACUGAGGGUGCACAUACUUCUUUUUACCAUAUAAGCUAACCAAAUUUUGAUGUUUCUACGUGUAAAAUACUAAAUUUUAAAAUAAUUGUGGGUGCACAUGUCCCCUCAUCCUUUAACUUGGCUUCGCCAGGUGUUUCCACCUUCGAUGAUCAGAUAAGUGGAGAAGGUGAAAUCUACAUAAAGCUUGAAUGAAUUGGUACAUUUGAUAUAGCAACGAAAUUAUACAUAGUAUUAAUUUAAUUUAUUUUACUUCGUAAGUCAAGCUAGGCAAGAUUGUUUUGCGUGAAAUUUCGACAGGAAGACACUUGUUUCCAGUUAAUUGGGAAAUAAUUAAUAACUAGAAUAAGACAUGCGCUAGUGCGCAUAAUGAUUUUGUUUGUAUAUAUUAUCGAUAAUUCUUUUUAUAUAUUUGUUUAUUUUGUUAAUGCAUAUACAAUAUUUUUUGCUAAUAUUAUAUAAUUUCUUUCUGAUAGAUCGGAUUAAUUUUUAUUAAAAGUUGUGGAACUAAAUUAUAAUUAAUAUAUCAUAGGUUGAUUGGAUUUAAACAAAUUGUGACACAAAAACCUUAUUUUUUUCACCGGACACAUUAUUGAAAAAAAUGAAUAGUAAUGUUUCCACAGUUGAAUUGUUUUGACAUUGAUCUUCCAUAUGGUUUUGACAUGUUUCAGAUCAACAAUCAAAUUAAUACAUGUCAUUUUAAUGAUUUUAGUCGUAUGGUUAAGUAAAACUUACAUUUUUGUAAUUUAAAUUUGUUUUAAAAAAAUUCAGAAUAUAACAUAUAAGAAAAAAUCUAACAUAUAAGAAAAAAUCUAACAUAUAAGAAAAAUAUAACAUAUAAGAUUUCCUCAUUUUUGUAAAUUAAAGUCGUUUUAAACAAAAAUUAAAUUAUAACAUAUAAGGUUUCCUCAUUUUUGUAAUUUAAAGUCAUUUUAAAAAUUUUAAAAUAUAACAUAUAAGUAAAAAAACUAGUUUUUUAAUUAUAUGGUUAAUGUGAUUAUUUUAAUUUUUUUAAUAAUAUAAAAUUUAAAAAAAAAUGAAGAAUGAUGCAAAAAUUGUUAUAAAUUUUUUAUUAUUCAUAGUCAUUAACUGUCAUAUAUAUGUUAAUACUAUUAGGUAAUUUCGUAGUUUUUAUUUAAAGAAAUAAUACAUGUUUCUUAUAUUUUGAGUUAAUAUAAUGUUUCUUAAUAACUGGAUUUGAACCAACAUUUUUUCAAUUAAUUCUUAAGCUGUCAUGUAAACUAAAUUGUCAUCCUAAUUAAGUGAUACCUAAACAGUGUCUCUUUUUAAUUAGUACAAACUUAAUGUUAUAAUUUUUUUAAUAGUCCUCAAUUAAUAUAUAGGGAUUCAUAUAAUCAUAUUUAACAUGUUUAAUGAGGGGUCGUACAUAUUUAUAAUAUAUUUUUUUUUUUAUUGCUAUCUUAGCUUAACUGGUCAUGCAUGUUUCGUAUGUUUUUGAUACUGCUAGUACAUUCAAGUCUAGUUUUGUAUAAUCUAAGUCUGUAAUCUAAUUUUCAACAGUGGUGAUAUAUAUAUUAAUGGGAAAAUUAGGGCACGAAUAAUUAAGAAUUGCAAUUCUAUACUAAGAAAAAUGAGUUGAAAACAUGUUUUGAAAGUUUAAUCCUGCGAGUUAAAACAUUUUGAGGCACCUUUUUCUUAAUAUUUGCAAAUCUAAUGUCUUAACUUUUUAUCAUAUUCAUUACUGCAUUUUGCCGCGUGCCAAUUAACAUAAGUGCACGCUACUACAAUCGAAUGGUAUAUCGAUGCAGUAUUGUAUGAUUGAAUCCAUAAAAAACUAGUGGUAUAUAACAAUAAGAAUACACAAACUUUUCUAAUCUAAGCAAAUAAGAAGAUGGAUGAUUUGUAACAAUCUAAGUAAUGACAGUAGUGAUCAUGGGCCUUUGGAGAAAGUGAAAGAGCAGUCUCAAGCCCACACGGUCACCACCAAAGUUCAGCCUAAUCCUCCUCUGUCGUCUAGUGUCAAACAGAAAGCAUUCAAGGUUCAAUCUUCUUGCUCCAGUACGACGAGGCCAGCUAAUGGCAUAACGGUUGGAAAUAGAUUUGAGUGUCUUGGUACACAGCCUGUCAUGUGCUGAGUCAGAGUAGAGGAUAAGAUCUUAUGUCUCUAUAUAAUGUAAAACGUGAACAUGUAAUCAGCAAGCAAGAAAGUAAUAAAAGUUAAAACGUUCUUCUUCACAAAACUCUAAGUUUUUUCAUGGUAUCAGAGCCAUGGAGGACUCUGACGCUAUUUCUACGCCAUCACUGAGUAUCUCUCAGUGUGUGACGUUAAAACUCACAUCUUCCAACUACUUGCUUUGGAAGACACAGUUCGAAUCCUUUCUUUACAGUCAAUCCUUGCUCGGUUUUCUCAAUGGAGGUUCUCUUCGCCCUGCUCCAACGGUAACGGUUCAAGAAGGAGAUGGAGUCACAGAGCAGCCUAAUCCUGAGUUUCAGAAGUGGAUGCGCAAAGACCAGCUUGUCAUGGCUUGGUUGUUCGGUUCUCUGUCUGAGGAUGCUCUCAGAUCUGUCUACGGUCUCACGUCAGCUCAGGAGGUCUGGUUCUGCCUUGGAAAGAAGUACAAUCGUGUCUCAGCUACAAGAAAACUAGAUCUCCAACGUAAGCUUCAAGGUAUGACUAAAAGCCAAAGAACCAUGACAGAGUAUCUAGGAGAGAUUAAGAGUAUCUGUGACCAGUUAGACUCUAUAGGGUGUAGCAUGACUGAGCAUGAGAUGAUAUAUGGUGCGUUGAGCGGUUUAGGGAAAGAGUAUGAAUCCAUAUGUACGGUUAUUGAGCAUUCUAUGGAUUCGGUUACUGAGAUGACGUUUGAAGAUGCUGUGUUCAAGCUCACUACCUUUGAUGAUAAGCUUCAGGUCUAUAACCAAAGUGCCACAGUUAAUCCUCAUCUUGCCUUUCAUGUUGGAAGGGGUUACUCUAACAACAGAGGCAGAGGAGGUUACACUAACAGAGGGGAUUAUAGAGGUGGUCGAAGCAACAACAACUACUCCACAAGGGGACGUGGCUUUCAACAGCAGUUCUCAAGUGGUAAUGGUCGUGACAAUGUUAGCUCAGGGUCCGGUUCCAACAACAGACCUACCUGCCAAAUCUGUGGGCGGUAUGGUCAUUCAGCUGCGAGAUGCUACAAUCGCUAUGAUCAAGAGUCUCAGUCUUCAGAUAACCUACCCAAUGCGCUCACCACAAUGAGACUUUCUGAUCAAGAACACAGUACCGGUCAAGAAUGGUAUCCAGAUUCUGCUGCGUCUGCCCACAUUACAAGCAACCAGUCUCAGUUAACGUCAGCAGAACCCUAUCUUGGGAAUGAUCAAGUGAUCGUUGGGAAUGGAGAUUACCUGCCAAUCACGCAUGUUGGAUCUGUCGCCUUACACACACAACAAGGUACUCUUCCUCUUGAUGAUGUGUUAGUCUGUCCUGGAAUAACAAAGUCUUUGAUAUCGGUUUCAAAACUCACUUCAGACUAUCCAUGUGAAGUUACAUUUGAUUCUGAAACUGUUUUUGUUAAGGACAAGCAAACAAAACAGGUGAUAACUCAAGGCAGAAGGGAUAAGGAUCUGUAUAUGUUGAAGGAUGCAAGAUAUCAAGCUUUUUAUUCUACAAGACAGAGAGCUACAAGUGUGGAGAUUUGGCAUCAAAGGCUAGGCCAUCCUCACAAGGACAUCCUUCAGCAGUUAGCCAGGAGUAACGCUAUCAGUUUGAAUAAAGGGGGGACAUUGGAGCUCUGUGAAGCGUGUCAGAUUGGCAAGAGUUGCAGGCUUCCUUUUCUUCUUUCAGAAACUUUUUCUAAUAGACCUUUAGAGAAGAUACAUUGUGACUUAUGGGGACCUAGUCCAGUUGUUUCUGCUCAAGGAUUUGGAUUACCCGGAAUAGAGCAAGAUAAGGAAGAACAAGAGGUUUCUUGCGUUAGAAGCAACAAGCGUCAACUACAAAGCGAUAACGAGGAAGAAUCUACACUUCCUACGAAGUAAGUAAAGAUUUGAGUUUCAAUCUAUUGUUUCAAAUUAUCUAUGAAUUGUUGUACUAAUGAUGAUUCUUUGCUAAUUUACAGAACUCAAAUCGUUGGUUGGCCUCCGGUGAGAUCUUACCGUAAAAACAACAACAGUGUGAGCUAUGUGAAAGUGAGUAUGGAUGGAGCUCCAUACCUUAGGAAAAUAGAUCUCAAGACAUACAAAAACUAUCCAGAGCUUCUCAAGGCAUUAGAGAACCUGUUCAAGUUCACGAUCGGUGAAUACAGCGAAAGAGAAGGAUACAAAGGAUCUGGAGUUGUACCAACGUACGAGGAUAAAGAUGGAGAUUGGAUGUUGGUUGGUGAUGUUCCAUGGGAUAUGUUCUCUUCCUCUUGUAAGAGACUCAGGAUCAUGAAAGGAUCUGAUGCUCUUGCUUUGGACUCGGCCUUAU